Molecule: long non-coding RNA, 451 nt
Organism: Calidris pugnax (ruff)
Lineage: Eukaryota; Metazoa; Chordata; Aves; Charadriiformes; Scolopacidae
Exons: 3
Source: RefSeq, a predicted model, not a curated record
AGGCAGGCAGCGCUGCCCGGGGUGGGAGAGGCCUCGGCUGUACCCGUUCGUACCCGGAGGUGUACCCCCGGCUGUGGAGACCCCCUUGGCCUGCGGAGCCGCUCCUAGCCCCGGCGGUGCCGGGAGGAGGGGGCCCGGUGACCCUCGGGCCCUGACAGGGUCUGCUGGCACUGGGGAAGCUGGAUGAACACGGCCGGGUGGGGAGGAAGCUCUACUUCACGUCCACGCUCUGCAGCGCUGGUGACGGCGGGCGAGCCGGUUUGCUCUGCUGCUUCUGUCCACAGGCACACGUGCUCCUCCAAGCAAACUCAUUCCUAAACAAACAGAGCUUCGCGGGAGGCAGCAAGCGGCGAUGUGGCCGAGCUGGAGGGAGGACUGGGACCAGCCGGUGGUGAGGGACCACCCUGCCCUGAGCUGGCCCAGGUGGCCCGAGGGGUGCGUCUGCCAUGGU